UCGAACGUGAAGCAGGAGCUUGCUCCUGUGGAAAGUGGCAGACGGGUGAGUAACGCGUGGGAAUUUACCCAGUGGUUCGGAAUAACGCAUGGAAACGUGUGCUAAUACCGGAUACGCCCUCCGGGGGAAAGAUUUAUCGCCAUUGGAUGAGCCCGCGUCGGAUUAGCUUGUUGGUGAGGUAAAAGCUCACCAAGGCGACGAUCCGUAGCUGGUCUGAGAGGAUGAUCAGCCACACUGGGACUGAGACACGGCCCAGACUCCUACGGGAGGCAGCAGUGGGGAAUAUUGCGCAAUGGAGGAAACUCUGACGCAGCCAUGCCGCGUGAGUGAAGAAGGCCUUAGGGUUGUAAAACUCUUUCACCGGUGAAGAUAAUGACGGUAGCCGGAGAAGAAGCCCCGGCCAACUCCGUGCCAGCAGCCGCGGUAAUACGGAGGGGGCUAGCGUUGUUCGGAUUUACUGGGCGUAAAGCGCGCGUAGGCGGGCUGGUCAGUUGGGGGUGAAAUCCCGAGGCUCAACCUCGGAACUGCCCUCAAUACUGCCAGUCUUGAGUUCGAGAGAGGUGAGUGGAAUUCCUAGUGUAGAGGUGAAAUUCGUAGAUAUUAGGAAGAACACCAGUGGCGAAGGCGGCUCACUGGCUCGAUACUGA
Molecule: ribosomal RNA, 647 nt
Filed under: uncultured bacterium
Lineage: Bacteria
Description: bacterial SSU rRNA
Rfam family: Bacterial small subunit ribosomal RNA
Source: RNAcentral